RNAcentral lists this transfer RNA (71 nucleotides) under Bipes biporus. RNAcentral's name for it is "tRNA-Gln". It matches the Rfam family "tRNA". From Rfam's summary of the family: Transfer RNA (tRNA) molecules are approximately 80 nucleotides in length. The record is from RNAcentral. Lineage: Eukaryota; Metazoa; Chordata; Lepidosauria; Squamata; Bipedidae.
UAGUAAGUAGUAUAGUGGUAGUACGCGGGGUUUUGGACCCUGAGGGACGGGUUCGAUGCCCGUUUUUCUAU